This 468-nucleotide ribosomal RNA is filed under the name uncultured bacterium. RNAcentral's name for it is "partial 16S ribosomal RNA". It matches the Rfam family "Bacterial small subunit ribosomal RNA", at positions 28 to 507 of the family's 1533-position model. The record is from RNAcentral.
GAUGAACGCUGGCGGCGUGCUUAACACAUGCCAGUCGAACGGAAAGGCCCAAGCUUGCUUGGGUACUCGAGUGGCGAACGGGUGAGUAACACGUGGGUGAUCUGCCCUGCACUUCGGGAUAAGCCUGGGAAACUGGGUCUAAUACCGGAUAGGACGAUGGUUUGGAUGCCAUUGUGGAAAGUUUUUUCGGUGUGGGAUGAGCUCGCGGCCUAUCAGCUUGUUGGUGGGGUAAUGGCCUACCAAGGCGUCGACGGGUAGCCGGCCUGAGAGGGUGUACGGCCACAUUGGGACUGAGAGACGGCCCAGACUCCUACGGGAGGCAGCAGUGGGGAAUAUUGCACAAUGGGCGCAAGCCUGAGGCAGCGACGCCGCGUGGGGGAUGACGGCCUUCGGGUUGGAAACUCCUUUCGCUAGGGACGAAGCGUUUUUGUGACGGUACCUGGAGAAGAAGCACCGGCUAACUACGUG